GUAGGUGAACCUGCGGAAGGAUCAUUACAAAAGGGGAGUGGGGGGAUGAGUUGAAAUGGGUGUGGGGAGAGAGGGAGUGGGAGUGAGAGAGGGAGGGAGAGAGGGAGAGAGGGAGGAGAGGGAGAGAGAGGGAGAGAGGAGAGAGAGGUUGUCAUUGACAUUUUCACUCUUUUUUCUUCUUUCUUUCCUCUUUUCUCUUUCCCCUCUCACUCCCUCCCUCCCUCUCUCUUUAGCAACAUUGGGCCAAUUAUAUAUCUCUCUAUACAACUUAUAACAAUGGAUCUCUGGGCUCUU
RNAcentral lists this unclassified non-coding RNA (294 nucleotides) under rhizosphere metagenome. RNAcentral's name for it is "partial ribosomal RNA internal transcribed spacer region". The record is from RNAcentral.